UGCAGGAACGUGGCAUGGGAGCAGAGCCCUCUCUGCUCUGGCAGGUAUGAGGGUUUCUCCCCACAGAGGUUUCUGCUUUAGGGGCUCCAAGGCUGCUAGUGUGGGGAUGGUGUGGGGAAGGGCUCAUCCUUCCUCAUGGAAAAGCUGAAGGAAAUGUUGUGCUGAGGCCUGCAACUUUUGGAUGACAGCUGGUCCCCUUGUUCUCUGGUUGCUGCCAGGAGCAGCCUGGCACCUCCUGUGAGGGGGACAGCCUGAGGGAAUGUAGGAGAACCUUCUGGAACUGGAAGGUUCCUAGAGUAGAGCUGGGCCUGUCUGCAGUUAUUCCUUCACACUGUGGCAAGAGAGAGCAGCCACAGCUACCUGCUGUGCUUACACUGCCAUCCCGCCUGUAUUUUGUCCCUGUUGAACCCAUUGUUGGUGAGGUGCACAGACAUGGCCUGAAAGUCGCUGUGGUGGUGCCUGAGGGGUGCUGAGGGUUGUGCUGCAGCUCCCUGUCAGGACCUGGCGCUGUGAGGAACCACUGGCCCUGCGCUGCUUCAGCUGCUGCACAUGAGGAUUUCUGUGGGCCUUCAGGGUUUUUAUCCACUGAAUGAGUCUUGAUGCAGACUGGGCUAUCACUAUGGAAAGGCUUAGUAGGAACAAGCUUACUAGAGGUUUGUACUGCGAAUCUAUGCAGAAUCCUACAAAUCCUGUGAAACUGAGUGACCUGAGCUGUACGAAUAGUAGAAAACAGCUGAAAUGUUCAGUUACGCACUGCAUAAAAACUGAGGUUCAAAAACAGUGUUUAGCAAGGUAAUG
Long non-coding RNA from Gallus gallus (chicken), 798 nucleotides. RefSeq lists it as uncharacterized. The transcript has 4 exons. The record is from RefSeq and is a predicted model, not a curated record. Lineage: Eukaryota; Metazoa; Chordata; Aves; Galliformes; Phasianidae.